AGUAGGAACUUUUGAAGACGUAAAAAGUGGGGAAUAGUAGAGUUGCAGCUUUGCUGUUUUGUGCCCGUUACAAUGCAUAGUUGGACCCUGAGCAACUGUUUUGUUUUUUCUUCCCUGGUCUACCUGUUCUGAGCAUGUUUAGGAUGAUGGAGAAAAUGAUCUUCUGACAUCCCUUCUACUGUUAAACUUCUAUGAUUUGAAAACUGAGGAUUGAAUAUUGGUUUAUUAAGCACUGGGUCCUAUUGGGACAGCUCAGUCAUUCCUUGAUUUGUUUAAAUUAAGUUUAGGAUAUGGAAAGAUGCUGGAAAGAAUAUGUGAAAAAGGAGGAUAAGAACAAAAGUGAGAAGAGGGGUCUGACCACUGAAAAUCUUUGAUGCCAUACAAAAUGAAUCUCUGUAUUCCAGCUUUCUGAAAAUCUUUAAGUAGAAACAGAGAUCCUGGACAUCCUUUUUAGACUUGUUUUAAUUCGUGAAAUGUCUUCAUGCCUAAUAGCAAGCAGAAGAAAACCUUGCUCUCCUCCACUGAGAAGACAAGUUAAGAGCAAAACGACCUAUAAUUUUCACCAGAAACAUAGAAAAGAGGACACCCAGAGUUCCAGAUCUUUGCCAGCCCAUCACUGUGAAAAAGCAAAGUCAACCCAUAAUCCUAUUACCAUUUCAUUUUUCGAGACCUAUAAAACUUUUUCCUUGCUAUCAAUAAUCACCAACAUUUCUAAAUGCUCCAUUUACUAGAUUCCUAAACUUUUUCUAAGACUAAAGAGUAAAUAACAGUAACAUUUAUAGAACAGAAGUCAUUUAAGUAGUUUUCACAAACCAAUUGACUAAAAUUUUAGCUAGAUUUCUAAGAAAUAUCAUAAAGACACUGUAGCAGAUUGUGUUAUCUUCUGUAAAUAUUUGCAGCCCAUCUCUUGGGAAAGAUUAUACUCCCUCACUUCACUGAUGUCAAUCUUGGUCAUAUAACUUGUGAAGAGUGAGCAGAAGUGGCAUGUGCCACUUGCAAGUAGAAAUUUAAGGGCCAUUGCAGUUUGCCAGUUUCUUUUUACUUCUGUGCUAGACCAGAAUAUUCCAGAUAAGGGCUCCAUCAACCAGGGGUCCAGAGUGAAUACAACAUGGAGCAGCACUGGG
Long non-coding RNA from Herpailurus yagouaroundi (jaguarundi), 1124 nucleotides. RefSeq lists it as uncharacterized. The record is from RefSeq and is a predicted model, not a curated record. Lineage: Eukaryota; Metazoa; Chordata; Mammalia; Carnivora; Felidae. The transcript is spliced from 5 exons.